Molecule: long non-coding RNA, 487 nt
Organism: Pantherophis guttatus
Lineage: Eukaryota; Metazoa; Chordata; Lepidosauria; Squamata; Colubridae
Source: RefSeq, a predicted model, not a curated record
UUGCCAAGCAUCCUGAGAGCCUGUGGUCACCAUCUACAAUCUUCUGAUGGCUUCCCCAGAAAGUCAAUGAAGACUUAUUUUAACAGUAAUUUGUUCAUAAUUGUUGACUAUUUAGACUUUACUGGGCUUGGACCUUGAGAGGCUGAACUACUGACUACGUGAACUUGGAUUUCAUUCCUCCUGGAGCUGGGAGAAUACCUUGUGACAUCAGAAAAAGAGCAAGGGAAUUGAGAAGCAGGCCAAUGUGCAGUCUUGUGUAAACUGCUGUGAUGGAAUGUUUACUAGAUCCCAGGAAGAUGGAGAGGGAAAGAAGACUCUCACAAAUAGAAAUCCUUCAUCCAGGGGAAACUCUUUUAGGGCUUGGGACCAAAUUAUCUGAAGCAUCAUCAGUUUGUGUAUACACUUGCCAUUAUACUCAUCUUCAUCAUUGGCCAAAACCUGCUUUCCUAUCCUGCAGCUGUAAAUAAAGUAAGCUGGAAGAAAGCUU